CCUACGGGAGGCAGCAGUGGGGAAUAUUGCACAAUGGGGGAAACCCUGAUGCAGCGACGCCGCGUGAGUGAAGAAGUAUCUCGCUACGUAAAGCUCUAUCAGCAGGAAAGAAAAUGACGGUACCUGACUAAGAAGCCCCGGCUAACUACGUGCCAGCAGACGCGGUAAUACGGAGGGGGCAAGCGUUAGCCGGCUUUACUGGGUGGAAAGGGAGCGUAGACGGCGCUGCAAGUCCGGAGUGAAAGCCCAUGGCUUAACCAUGGUACUGCUCUGUAAACUGUAGAGCUUGAGUGCGGGCGGGGCAGGCGGAAUGCCUAGUGUAGCGGUGAAAUGCGUAGAUAUUAGGAGGAACCCAGGCGGCGAAGGCGGCCUGCUGGACCGUAACUGACGUUGAGGCUCGAAAGCGUGGGGAGCAAACAGGAUUAGAUACCCUAGUAGUC
RNAcentral lists this ribosomal RNA (440 nucleotides) under uncultured bacterium. RNAcentral's name for it is "partial 16S ribosomal RNA". It matches the Rfam family "Bacterial small subunit ribosomal RNA", at positions 338 to 795 of the family's 1533-position model. The record is from RNAcentral.